CCUACGGGAGGCAGCAGUAAGGAAUAUUGGUCAAUGGGCGCAAGCCUGAACCAGCCAUGCCGCGUGCAGGAAGACGGCCCUAUGGGUUGUAAACUGCUUUUGAACAAGAGAAAACCUCGGUACGUGUACCGAGCUGAUAGUAUUGUUAGAAUAAGCAUCGGCUAACUUCGUGCCAGCAGCCGCGGUAAGACGAAGGAUGCAAGCGUUAUCCGGAUUCAUUGGGUUUAAAGGGUGCGUAGGCGGCCUGAUAAGUCAGUGGUGAAAUCUCUCAGCUUAACUGAGAAACUGCCAUUGAUACUGUCGGGCUUGAGUACAGAUGAUGUGGGCGGAAUAUGACAUGUAGUGGUGAAAUACUUAGAUAUGUCAUAGAACACCGAUUGCGAAGGCAGCUCACAAAACUGUAAACUGACGCUGAGGCACGAAAGUGCGGGGAUCAAACAGGAUUAGAUACCCUGGUAGUCCGCACCGUAAACGAUGAUUACUCGUUGUUGGCAAUAUGACCGUCAGCGACCGACGACGAAGACGAGUAAGUAAGUACCACCCGUACGGGAGGUACGGCCCGGCCGAACCGGUACGGAAACGUACCGAAACGGAAAGUUAGUACGGACGUUAGGAGGACGACGGCCGACGGACGACCGACGAGGGGAGGGUUAGGG
Molecule: ribosomal RNA, 656 nt
Filed under: uncultured bacterium
Lineage: Bacteria
Description: partial 16S ribosomal RNA
Rfam family: Bacterial small subunit ribosomal RNA (bases 1-542)
Source: RNAcentral